This is a long non-coding RNA of Ruditapes philippinarum (Manila clam), 9070 nucleotides long. RefSeq lists it as uncharacterized. NCBI's taxonomy places the organism in Eukaryota, Metazoa, Mollusca, Bivalvia, Venerida, Veneridae. The transcript is spliced from 2 exons. The record is from RefSeq and is a predicted model, not a curated record.
ACAUGUGUCAAUGCUGUAUGCCAAAAAUCAGAGGCUGUGAUAAGUAGUUGCUGAGAAAACUGUUACGAAAAUUUCCUACCAUUGACCAUUAAUGUUGAAAAUUUAACUAAUUCUGUAAACAGGAAAUGGAUGAGUGACAGACCUGAAAUCGAAUCCCAAGGUAUGAGACCAUGUGUCAAUGAUGUUAGCCAAUCAUCAAGAGGCUGUGAUAAGUAGUUGCUGAGAAAACUGUUACAAAAAUUUCCUACCAUUGACCGUAAAUGUAAAAAAAAUAACUAAGUUGGUAAAUAGGUAGUGGACAAGUGACAGACCUGAAAUCGAAUCCCACAGUAUGGGACCAUGUGUCAAUGCUGUAUGCCAAAUAACAGAAUCUGUGAUAAGUAGUUGCUGAGAAAACUGUUACGAAAAUUUCCUACCAUUGACUAUUAAUGCCAAAAUUUAACUAAGUCAGUAAACAGGAAGUGGAAGAAAGACAAAUCUGAAAUUGAAUCCCACGGUAUGGGACCAUGAUGCAGCAUUUAAUUUAAUUUACUGUCUCACUGUCAAUGCUGUAAGCCUAUUACCAAGAGGCUGUGAUAAGUAGUUGCUGAGAAAACUGUUACGAAAAUUGACCAUUUAUGUUGAAAAUUUAACUAAGUCUGUAAACAGGAAGUGGAUGAGUGACAGACCUGAAAUCGGAUCCCACAGUAUGGGACUACAUGUCAAUGCUGUAUGCCAAAUAUCAAGAGGCUGUGAUAAGUAGUUGCUGAGAAAACUGUUACAUAAAUUUCCUACCAUUGACCAUUAAUGUUGAAAAUUUAACUAGGUCGGUAAAAGGAAGUUAACGAGUGACAGACCUGAAAUCAAAUCCCACAGUAUGGGACCACAUGUCAAUGCUGUAUGCCAAUUAUCAAGAGGCUGUGAUAAGAAUUUGCUGAGAAAACUGUUACAAAAAUUUCUACCAUUGACCAUUAAUGUGGAAAAUUUAACUAGGUUGGUAAACAGGAAGUGGAUGAGUGACAGAACUGAAAUCUAAUCCCACGGUAUGGGACUAUGUGUCAAUGCUGUAAGCAGGCUGUGAUAAGUAGUUGCUGAGGAAACUGUUACAAAAAUUUCUACCGUCGAAAAUUACGAAAAUUUCCUACCAUUGACCAUUAAUGUUGAAAAUUUAACUAAGUCUGCAAACAGGAAGUGGAUGAGUGACAGAUCUGAAAUCAAAUCCCAAGGUAUGAGACCACGGGUCAGUGCUGUAAGCCAAUCAUCAAGAGGCUGUGAUGAGUAGUUGCUGAGAAAACUGUUACGAAAAUUUCCUACCAUUUUUCAUUAACAUGGUUCAUACAGACUUCUCAAACAUAAAUUUAGGGCUUUUUCAGGGCCUUUUUAACUAAAUUUAGGGCUUAAUUUUCAUGACAUUAACAAGCACCUGAUUUGUAGUUCUUUGUUCAUUUAUUCGGAUGCCUCAGACUUUUUCCUUAAAAAAUCAGAUAAUUCAGAAUAAGUGUUUGUGCCCUAGUCAAUUUGUCCCCGUGUCAAUUCACCCAAAAUACGGAAUUAUAUGUUAUUAAAGGAUAUUUAUUUUGUUUCUCAAUUGCAUUGUAAAUCAUUUAGAUUAUUAACCAACUAAAUAGUUUACAAACUACAUUUAGGGCCUUCAAAAUAGUAAUUUUGGAUCAGAGAGUGGUAAUUUAGGGACUUUUCAGGGCCAGCCAUGCUUUUCAUUUUGGGUCAUUUUUUUACAAUUUGAAUAAUUAUUCUGGAAAAACGAGGAGCUCAAAUGAUCUGAAAUUUUGCACAAAUAUUAGUGGUCAAGACCUACAUCAAUUGGUACAUUUAUCUGGAAAAAAUAUUUUCAGUCCCAUCAUGUCAAUAAACCUCAGUCAAUGUCAAUGACCCUGCAAAUCAAGCGGUCAAAUUAGCAAUGUCAGUAAACUAAUUAUACUUAGAUAUUAACAAACGACCUGAAAAAACUAGAACUGCCACUGUCAUGGCAUGAAUACCCCCUGCAUACCACUUUGUCAGAAUCAAGUGGCCAUUCAGAGCUCAAGGACAACCACCCUGCCAAAUCUGAGUUACUAAGCCAGUGCAUUGCUAAGUUAUGUAUUCUACAUGCUUCAAAUGUGAAAAUGUCAAAAUCAAUACACUGCAGACAGGCAUUCUUAAACAUUUGAGCAGACAAGCUUAUUAUAGUAAAAAUCCCUGUGACUUGACUUUUGACAAUUAAGCAGAAAAGCUGUUUUACUCAAGGCCCCUGUGACCUUGACCUUUGACCCAGUGACCUCAAAAUCAAUAGAGGUCACCUAAUGGUCAGGAUCAACCUACAUGCCAAAAAUGGAGACUGUGGCUCAAAGGAAUCUUAAUUUAUUGGGCGGACUAACUUGUUGAAGUCAAGGCCACUGUGACCUUGACCUUUGACCUCAAAAUCAAUAGGGGUCAUCUACUAAUCAUGACUAACCUCCAUGCCAAAUAUGAAGAUUGUGGGUCAAAGGAAUCUCAAGUUAUUGGGCGGAUAAGCUUAUUUUACUCAAGGCCCCUGUGACCUUGACCUUUGCCCCAGUGACCUCAAAAUCAAUAAGGGUCAUCUACUAAUCAUGACUAACCUCCAUGCCAUAUAUGAAGAUUGUGGGUCAAAGGAAUCUCAAGUUAUUGGGCAGAUAAGCUUAUUUUACUCAAGGUCCCUGUGACCUUGACAUUUGACCCAGUGACCUCAAAAUCAAGAGGGGCCAUCUACUAAUCAUGACUAACUUCCAUGCCAAAUAUGAAGACUGUGGGUCAAAGGAAUCUCAAGUUAUUGGGCGGUCAAGCUUUUUUUAGUCAAGGCCCCUGUGACUGACCUUUGACCCCAAAAUCAAUAGGGUCAUCUACUAAUCGUGACUGACCUCCAUGCCAAAUAUGAAGACUGUCGGUCAAAGGAAUCAUAAGUUAUUGGGCGGAAAACCUUUUUUAAGUCAAGGCCCCUGUGACCUUGACCUUUGACCCAGUAACCACAAAAUCAAUAGGGGUCAUCUACUAAUCAUGACUAAUCUCCAUGUCAAAUAUGAAGACUGUGGGUCAAAGGAAUCUUAAGUUAUUGGGCGGACAAGCUUUUUUUUUCUCAAGGCCCCUGUGACCUUGACCUUUGACCCAGUAACCACAAAAUCAAUAGGGGUCAUCUACUAAUCAUGACUAAUAUCCAUGUCAAAUAUGAAGACUGUGGGUCAAAGGAAUCUUAAGUUAUUGGGCGGACAAGCUUUGUUUUUUUUUCUAAAGGCCCCUGUGACCUUUGACCCAGUGACCUCAAAAUCAAUUAGGGUCAUCUACUAAUCAUGACUAACCUCCAUGCCAAAUAUGAAGACUGUGGGUCAAGGGAAUCCUAAGUUAUUGGGCGGACAAGGACAAACUGACGGACGGUCGGACUUGGUUGUGGGGGGGGGGGUAUAAUUAUGAUUAAUUUUCAUACAACAAGGCGGUAUUUCAAAGACAUUUGUUGCGAUUAUGAUCUUGCAAUACUUGACACCAUGCUGUGUCUGCUAUAUAAACAAUAAUGCACAAGAAAGGAUGUCAACUUACAAAUAUUUAUUUGUCGGUAAAUUUUAUGACAGAAUCCCCGCUGCUACCAGAAAUAUUUUAUUGCAGGGGCUAAGUUAUUAAUCUGUGUCAGCAGUCAUAAAUCAAAACAAACAAACAUGUACCCUAAAGCACAUUAAAUCUAUCACGUGGAAAACAAGUGAACAUACAGUAUUUUUAAUUCAGUUUCCAUGCCUCAAUUUGAUACGUUCUAUAAUAAGUUAAUUGCCGUGCGCAUGCCGUAAAUGCGUGACGUAAGGAAAAACCUUAGCUUGGUUGGUCGCUAUUUAUGUAAAUACUUUAAAUAGUAACACCCUAAUUUUAUGCAUGGAAUGCCCUCAUGAAUGAUUCACCCUAAUAUUAUGCAUGGAAUGCCCUCAUGAAUGAUUAAUCAUUACGAUAACACACUUUACAGACUAAUUUUCGUAUUAAAUUAGCCAUUUUUGGAAAGGUAAAAGUAAAGUUGAUGAUUCUCGCUUCCAUUGAUAUCAUGCAAGUCAAGAUUCUCGCUUACAUGGGGAAAUCGAUAAAGCAAUUUAUAAGUGAAGGUCAUGGUCUGUCUGCUUAUUUUUAAGGGCUAUCUUUGAAGAUUAUUAUGUUCAAGUUUGAAGACAAUCCAUUCAAAAAUAACAGUUACAGCCAAUAAUAGCAAGAACAAGCAGAAUUUGGACAUUUGACCUUGAAGGUUAAGGUCAUUUAUGGAUGAAGGUCAAGGUUAGUGUGGUCUACUGACCAGGUUUUUCUAUUUUUAGCUUUAGCGUCCCCUUAAAGGGGCCAAUCAAAUUAAUGUGAGCAAAGACUACCCAAAAAUGCUACAGACAAAGUUUGGUGAUCAUCCAUUAAUAAGAUCUGUAGGAGAAGAUAUUUAAACAUAUUUCUAUUUUUAAUUUAAGCGGCCCCUAAAAGGGGAUAAUCAAAUUAAUAUGAGCAAACUUGAUAAAAGACUACCUAAGAAUGCUACAGACAAAGUUUAGUGAUCAUCCAUCAAUUAGUUCUGUAGUAGAAGAUAUUUAAAGAUUUUUCUAUUUUUAGCUUAAGUGGCCCCUCAAGGGGGCUAAUCAAAUUAAUGUGAGCAAACUUGAUAAAAGACUACCCAAAAAUGCUACAGACAAAGUUUGGUGAUCAUCCAUCCAUUAGUUCUGUAGCCAUAGACGUUUAAACGUAUAUCUAUUUUUAAUUUUAGCGGCCCCUAAAAAGGGGCCAAUCAAAAUAAUAUGAGCAAACUUGAUAAAAGACUACCCAAGAAUGCUACAGACAAAGUUUGGUGAUCAUCCAUCUAUUAGUUCUGUAGAAGAAGAUAUCUAAAGGUUUUUCUAUUUUUAGAUAUAGAGACCCCUAAAAGGGGCUAAUCAAACUAAUAUUAGCAAACUUGAUAAAAGACUACCCAAGAAUGCUACAGACAAAGUUUGGUGAUCAUCCAUCCAUUAGUUCUGUAGAAAUAGACAAUUUAAGGUUUUUCUAUUUUUAGCUUUAGUGGCCCCUAAAAGGAGCUAAUCAAAUUAAUAUGAGCAAACUUGAUAAAACUCUACCCGAGAAUGCUAAUGACAAAGUUUGGUGAUCAUCCAUCCAUUAGUUCUGUAGGAGAAGAUGUUUAAAGGUUUUUUUAUUUUUAGCCCUAGAGACCCCUAAAAGGGGCCAAUUAAAAUAAUAUUAGCAAACUUGAUAAAAGACUACCCACGAAUGCUACAGACAAAGUUUGGUGAUCAUCCAUCAAUAAGUUCUCUAGAAAUAGACAUUUAACGGUAUUUUUAUUUUUAGCUUUAGCGGCCCCUAAAAGGGGCCAAUCAAAUAAAUAUGAGCAAACUUGAUAAAAGACUACCCAAGAAUGCUACAGACAAAGUUUGGUGAUCAUCCAUCCAUUAGUUCUGUAGAAGAGGAUGUUUAAAGGUUUUUCUAUGUUUAGCCCUAGAGACCCCUAAAAGGGGCCAAUGAAAUUAAUACAUGUAUGAGAAAAUUUGAUAAAAGACUACCCAAGAAUGCUACAGACAAAGUUUGGUGAUUGUCCAUCAAUUAGUUCUGUAGAAGAAGAUGUUUAAAGGUUUUUCUAUUUUUAGCUCUGCUGACCCCUAAAAGGGGCAAAUUGGAAUGACAUGAGCAAAUUCAAGUGUGACUGUCACAAGGAUGCUACAGACCAAAUUUGAAGUAAAUCUGCUUAGUAGUUUCAGAGAAGAAGACGAUUGUUGACGCAUGACGACAGCCGAUGGACGCCGGGGCAUCCCCCUUUGACCCUGAGCUUUCUGCUCUUGUGAGCUAAAAAGUUAUGAUCCAGGUACAAGUUUGCAGACGGCAACGCCGCCAGGACUAUAACAAUACCUCUACUUUUUUAAACAAGAGGGCCAUGAUGGCCCUGGAUCGCUCCCCUGACACAUCAACCUCAUCCAAGCAAUAUGUUAGACAAGCAUCCUGGCCAAGUUUGAUGACAAUCGAGUCAAAAAUGUGACCUCUAGUGUGUUAAAAAGGGUUUCCAUAUUUGGGCAAUGCGACCUAAUUUUUCAAUAGAGACGACCCAUAUUCAAACUUGACCUAGAAAUCAUCAAAACAACCUUUCUGACAAAUUUCCUGAAUAUUUGGUUCAAAACUGGAGCCACUAGAGUGUUAUAAAGAUUUUUCUAUUUUUAGCUUCUGUUACCUAGUAUUUGACCAGAGAUGACCCAUCUUCGAACUUGACCUAGAAAUCAUCAAAACAACCUUCCUGACAAAUUUCCAGAAUAUUUGGAUCAAAACUACAGCCAGUAGUGUUAACAAGCUUUUUCUAUUUUUAGCUUCUGUGACCUAGUUUUUGACCGGAGAUGACCCAUCUUCGAACUUGACCUAGAAAUCAUCAAAACAACCUUCCUGACAAAUUUCCAGAAUAUUUGGAUCAAAACUGCAGCCAGUAGAGUGUUAACAAGCUUUAUUUAUUUUUAGCUCCUGUGACCUAGUUUUUGACCGGAGACAACCCAUCUUGGAACUUGACCUAAAAAUUAUCAAAACAACCUUUCUGACAAAUUUCCAGGAUAUUUGGAUCAAAACUGCAGCCACUAGAGUGUUAACAAACUUUUUCUAUUUUUAGCUCCUGUGACCUAAUUUUUGACUAGAGAUGACCCAUUUUCGAACUUGACCUAGAAAUCAUCAAAACAACCUUCCUGACAAAUUUCCAGAAUAUUUGGAUCAAAACUGCAGCCACUAGAGUGUUAACAAACUUUUUCUAUUUUUAGCUCCUGUGACCUAAUUUUUGACUAGAGAUGACCCAUCUUCGAACUUGACCUAGAAAUCAUCAAAACAACCUUCCUGACAAAUUUCCAGAAUAUUUGGAUCAAAACUGCAGCCAGUAGAGUGUUAACAACCUUUUUCUAUUUUUAGCUCCUGUGACCUAGUUUUUGACCGGUGAUAACCCAUCUUCGAACUUGAUCUAGAAAUUAUCAAAACAACCUUCUUACAAAUUUCCUGAAUAUUUGGAGCAAAACUUGAGCCACUACAGUGUUAUAAAAAAAAUUCUAUUUUUAGCAUCUGUGACCUAGUAUUUGACCAGAGAUGACCCAUCUUGGAACUUGACCUAGAAAUCAUCAAAACAACCUUCCUGACAAAUUUCCAGAAUAUUUGGAUCAAAACUGCAGCCAGUAGUGUAAACAAGCUUUUUCUAUUUUUAGCUCCUGUGACCUAGUUUUUGACCGGAGAUGACCCAUCUUCAUACUUGACCUACAUGUAGAAAUCAUUAAAAUAACCUUCCUGACAAAUUUCUAGAAUGUUUUGAUCAAAACUGCAGCCACUAGAGUGUUAACAAGCUUUUUCUAUUUUUAGCUCCUGUGACCUAGUUUUUGACCAGAGAUGACCCAUCUUCGAACUUGACCUAAUCAUGAAAACAACCUUCCUGACAAAUUUCCAGAAUAUUUGGAUCGAAACUGCAGCCAGUAGAGUGUUAACAAGCUUUUUCUAUUUUUAGCUCCUAUGACCUACUUUUUGACCGGAGAUGACCCAUCUUCGAACUCGAUCUGUAUUUCAUUAAGACAAACAUUCUGACAAAGUUUGACAAUGAUCCAAUCAAAACUGUGACUACUAGACUGUUAACAACAACCCAAUUGUUGACGACGAACAACGCACGACGACGGACGCCGGACAUAGCCCCAUUAUUAUACCUCACCUUGACAACUUUGUGGUCAGGUGAGCUCAAAAAAAAGUCGAGCUAAAAAUGUGACCACUAGUGUUAACAAGGUUUUUUUAUUUUUAGCUCCUGUGACCUAGUUUUUCAUCCGAGAUGACCCAUCUUCGAACUAAUCGAGCUAUUAGCUAGAUAAGCAUCCUGACAAAGUUUGAUGAUGAUUGAGGCAAAAAUGUGACCGCUAGAGUGUUAACGAUCAAGUGUGGACGGAGGACGGACAUUCAACGAUCCUAAAACCCCGAAGAUUAAUUCACAGAUAAGAUAAUUUCAUUCGAAUAUGUUUGCAUUGCAAAAUUCUCCAGUUCGCUUUUCAUUGUACAUAUCGUGACAUUUCAUUUUUCAAACACCCUCGGAAUGAUCGGCUAUUAUGACCGACGAAAAGGCCCAGGAAGUUUCAAUUGCCCUUUCACAAAAUCUGAUUUUAUUCCAUAAAGGGCGUCGCGAUCUGCGCGGACGCCAACAAAACUCACAACUGUCUUGCUAGACUUCAUGACCUGAAUCACUUCAUAAAUCAGGGAUGAAAAUUAGCGGAGGCCCAGUCGCCCACGGCGACUUAAUUUGUAAUUGGACCACCAAAAAUCUGAAAAUAAUCGUCCAGUCGGCGACUAAAAAAAUCGGCCGUAGAUAAAAUUAAUAUCCGCCAUUAAAUCAACUCACGUGAAAAUUCAAAGGUGCAAAUGAGCGAAUUGGCUCCAAAAUUAUUAGAUUGGCUCAAGAAAAUCACGAUUGGCUCAAACUUACAAAAAGUAUGACUUUUGGAAUCUCCGGUCUAAAUUUAGCAUUUGCUAUUUUAAGAAUGGAAAAGUACACAUUUGGUUUUCCAUUUUUAAUUUGCGCUUUACCGCGUCUUAUCUCAAAACACAGCGACACAGUCUACUUCUUGUGGGUCAUUGACUGGUUUAUAUUUUCAACUUCCCUUCUAAACUAAAUAUCGAUAUGAACAGUAACACAGUCUAAUACACUGGCCCUCACCGUUUGUUUACAUCAGCUGAUAAAUAUGACACUAAUUGUCGUGAACAUACCUGGCAGAUUGUUGAAUAUGCAUUGAAAAAUUGGGUCUUAAUAUUUAAUAUGAAACAAUAAGUAGCGGCAUCCCAAGAUUACUCAAGAUUAUCGCUAAUCAAAUCAGAAGUUCGGGUAUGAAAUAGCGACAAAUUAUGUUCUGCAGUUGACAACUUGACCUGUUGACGAUACAGAUAGUCUUCAAGAAAAAUCUUUGUCAUUAACCAAGCAAGCUGAAGCAGCACAUUGGAAUGUGUUUCUGCUGUUACUGUCAUGCCACUGACUUAACCAGGCAAAUGUUAUAGCUACUGAGCUGGAAGCUUUUAUGAUUAUUGACUGUAAAUUAUAUAAGUUUGAUGUGUUAAUGUGAUAAAAAAUGUAGGUACCAAAAUAAAAGUGGACAAUAUA